UCUCAACAAUAGAUAAACACUUAAAAAAAUUUUUUUAAUGUAAUAAAAAUGAAGGAUCAAUCAUCCCAAACGGCUUGGAACCAUUUCCCCCUUAACACACGCAUUUACUAAGAGCAGAGUGGAUGUGAGGAAGUAAAAUUAGACUUAAUGGCAUUCUUGAGACUUUGAUCCUCGCAGUAGUGAUUUCACACUGAGGGAUGGUGUUUACACGAUGCUAAUCCAAAAGGUCAAUCAGUCUGAGUAAUUAGAAUCACCGUGCUCGAGCUAAAAGGCCAGCGAGUCCAAUCCCUUUAUUUUACAUGUAGGGAUUACGAUAGAAAUCUAUCAAACCAAAUCGGCCAGCUGCCUGAUGGCAUUGACUGGCUGUUCCGUUGAAAGGACCAGUCAUUUAUUGCAAAUAAUUAGCCUGUUUCUUCUCACCCUCCUACAGGCCCUACCAAAAGUAGCCGUGUAAAAUAGGCUCCAACCUCAGCGCUGUCUCCUGAAGAAGUGAAGUUCCAUGACAUGGCUGCUAUCAGCCUGCCUCUCACCCUGUGACACAUUGUUGCCCAGUGAGGCAGGCAGGCGGCCAUUUCUAAAUUUUUUUUUCCUUAAUAUUUAUUUUUAAGGAAGAGAGAGAGAGACAGAGUGUGAGCAGGGGAGGGGCAGAGAGAGAGGGAGGCACAGAGUCUGAAGCAGGCUCCAGGCUCCGAGCUGUCAGCACAGAGCCCGAUGCGGGGGCUCGAACUCACAAACUGAGAGAUCAUGACCUGAGCUGAAGUCGGACGCUUAACCGACUGAGCCGCCCGGGAGCCCCCAGGCGGCCAUUUCUAAGGCACCUGAACAUUAGCAAUGUAUGGGUAAUUAAGGCGUUACACGAGGAGUGAUUACUACUAGUCUUUCCCACUGAGCGGCGGUUGCAACCUCAUCGAGCCCCACGGAAUCCAGUCUGAGCUCUUAUGGUCUCAGUAAUACCUCCCAAAGGCACGUGGGCAGGCCCUGUGGCCUGUGGCUCCUGUCAGUGGGACCGAACCCAGGGUGCAGGGCAGCCCACAAGGCCUCAAGAUCUCCACAGCCACUGCCAUUUCUUACAUUGAGAAUUCCAAACAUCGCUAACGGGCUCUGGGGCAACCACACUUCGGUCUGGUUCAGCUGCCUUUGUUUAGGUUUUUUGUUUUUUGUUUUUUGUUUUUUUUUUCCUUUUAGGCAACGCCCCCCCCCCUCCCCCCUAGCUUUCUCUAGGGUUCCUGCAGCAGUAAGUGGUUUCUGAGGUUCAUUUCCGCGCUGGGCGGGAGAACCGCGCAGCUCGGUCCUCAGAGCCUGGGGCGGGGGGAGGAGGGGCUUGCCGACGGUAAACAUUGACCUCAGCAAAUCACCACCGCCCGCCAAAGACUGCCACUAGGGUGCGCUAGCAAACAACACAAAAGGCACCCUUUGGUGCAUUCCUUUCUCAACCGCUUGUCUGGAAUUCAGAGCUCCGUGUGUGCGCUCCCAUUGAGGGUUUCGAAAUGCUCCGAAGUUGUUAGGCUGUCCCGAAGGAAGUCGGCUAUUAAAAUAAACCAGCAUUUAAUCCUGCAUGAUGACCAACGUUCCGAUUAUAUUUCUAGAAGUGAUGCUGACUCAGAGCAACUAUCAACUCUUGCUGAUGCACCUUUUUGAAAUGGUCGGGCCUCGUUCCCUGUUGCUAAGCUUGUGACAAAUUUCAUGCCUUAAAGGCAUGCAUCUUUGGACCACAAUCUACAGAAGUUCUGGAAACCCAAAUUUAGGAAGGCCUGGUCCGCUCGCAGUCAGCACUGUGAAUUAUAAGAGACACCCUGUCCGUGGAGACCUCAGAACAAAAGAAAUAAGGCUUUGUAAUCAACAAACAAGGGAAUUAAACCAGCGCCAGGCCUGUGACUGUGGGGGUCAUGCCCUUGCGAGGCAAUAAAAAGGAAGAAAAAAAAUAUAAAAACUGCUAUUUUUUACAAACUGGACUGCAGUCUUCAUCUGCCCUGCUGUAACAGCUAGAAGACCCCUAGUAGCCUGGAAUGAAUGUGGAGGCACCCAGGCACCUUUUGAAAAGACUUCAGUAUCCCCUCCAGAAUGUCCUGCUUUCCGGAUUCCCAGAUCCCUGUCAUCCUGGCGAGCACCAUACUCUGUGAGGAAACCAAGGUGCUGCCAGGAUCAUGUGUCAAAUAAAGCAUGGGAAGCCCAUGAUCUCAGCGUGCAAAUGUCUACGCAGCUGCCUAACCGGGAACUGGUGAAUAACACACACACACACACACACACACACACACACACACACACACACACCACUCAAACGUGUUGAGCCUAGGACAGAGUUGUUUAAUCAAAGCGUUCACUUCUUGGAGUAGGCAACGAUCCAUUGCCCGACCCCCUAGAAUUAUCUGUUAGGACACAGAAGGAUGGCCUGUUUCUCUCUCUUUGCCUUCCUACCACACUCUGGGAAAGCCAUACAUGGAAGAAGCCAGAUCUCAUUUCAUUUUCAAACUCCCUGUCCCCGGAUGAAAUUGAUGGUGGUUUUCUUUUGCUUCUAUAAACAUAGUUCAUUGGCAUUGACUUUCACAAUGAAGGCUAUUGCUUCUAAAAUAUACAUUCAUGCAGAAUCCGUUAAAUUUUACUCCCUUGGGACGGGUCUCGGCUUCUACUAGUCAGCUGAGUCCUAAAUUUUGUGCCCAGGAUAACUUUUGUGGGGACCACGGCCCUCCCCUGGGCAGCAUCAGGAAGCCUAACCCACAGAUGGCUGCAGGCUAAACUCUAUGCUAAUCUCCCCAAAGUUCCUUAUUUGCCACUUGCUAAUACAGUCUUUAUCAAUUCAUUCAAGGAGCUUUAAUGCAAAUCAUAAGUCUAACAUUCAAUGAGAAAUUCAUUUCACUCAUGCAUAAUUCAUAUGAUGAUAAGGGCAAUGAACAUCCUGGGGAGGAAGGGGCCGGCUUUCUUUUCACACCAGAAUCUGCGGCUUUUUAUAUUACAUGGGACCACGGGCUUGAAAUGAGUCCAUGCACAGCAGCAGUGACAUUGAGAUGUUUCCAUUUGCUUCUCCCAUAACGUUUUUUCUGGUGGUCAAAAAAAUUUUUUUAGUGUUUAUUUGUUUUGGGGGGGGGGGAGGGGCAGAGAGAGAGAGGCAGAUACAGAUCUCGAAGCAGGCACCAGGCUCUGCACUGUCAGCACAGAGCCAGGCACCGGGCUCAAACUCCCCAACUGUGAGCAGGAGACCUGAGCCGGAAGUCAGACACUUCACCAAUGAGCCACCCAGGCGCCCCCUGGUGGUUGUAAAAAGCACUGUCAACAGAAUAUUCUCCCCGCUGGGGGCCCUGGUGACUGGGAUGCCCAGGGAGCUUACCUGCCACAAAAUCACCAAAGCCUACUGUGGUGAGAGUGACCACCACAAAGUAAAUGGACUCCAAGGCUGUCCACCCCUCGAUAUAUUUGAAAAUGACAGCAGGGAUCGUCACAAAUACAAUACAGCCGGCCAAGAUGAACAGGAUGGUUGAGAUGACCCGGAUCUUGGUCUGGCUCACUUGCUUUUUCUGGGAACAGCAAAGCAGAAAGAUAGGUCAGCUUUAUCACCCUAGAUUCAGAGGACAGAGAGGCACAGAAAAAAAUGUAUUAUGUCAGUGGCUUUUCACCUUUCUUCAGUCAUGGGCAACUUUGGGAGAACCGGAGGAAGGAAGGCUGUGGACCCUCUCCUAGAAAAACGCACGGACAGAAGUUUUCAGAUGCUCUAUAGGUGGCUCUUGGACCCCAGGAAGGCUGUUCAUGAACCCCGGGUCAAGAAACCAUGGACCGUGGGUCAAGAAACCCUGCUUAGGUCCUGCCUUGAAUGUCCUUCAAGUGGUUCCAAAUGCUGAUUCUAACUUCCUCACUGGUGCGAAUAUAAUUAUUCCCCAGAAGGGGUUGCUGCCAUUUCUCAUGUAUUAUCGACCCUCCUUUAGGAGGGCACAGGUUUGGAGCUCUUUCCACAGUGGCAGUGAUGGACUUGGCACCUAGUUUCCCUUGUGUCAAAGGGAACGUGUUGGGGGAAAAAAAAACAAAAACAAAAACAGCUGGCUUGAGACAGACUAAAAUGUUCAGAGGACAAGGAAAACACAGCCACCCCCAUACUCAUUUGAGACAGACUCCAGCUUCUUCACCCUCCUUCCCUGCUGAAGUGGUACGUUUAUAACAUACUUUUCUUUCAAAACACGUGUUUGAGCUAGCGCUACGGCGCGUUUAGGCUGUAUUAUCCACCAAAGACGGACAAAAGUCUAAGCCAGAAUGAUGGGGUCACUGUCAAAAAUGACAGGAGCUUCAUUUCAGAUCAGCUUCUCAAGGAGCCAGUAGGAGGUGAGAGCAUUUAGAUUGGGUAUUAGACUGACGUCACUCAAAGAAACAGUGCCAACAGAGUCCAGAGGUAGACUGGAAGCAUCAUUGGUAUUCCCCUUGAAUGCACUCAAGACAACACUGGCAUUGCCUCUGGACUAAAUAAUCUUUAAGGUCUUCUCAAAGCUCCCAGGACUGGCAUGUCAAUUGUCAUCAGGGGGCCCUAGCACUAUAACCCAACCAAAACCAUGUAAUACCAGAAUGAAUGGGCCUUUCUACACCACCUAGAUUGAUGUUCUGCAAAAAUACACCACAUGUGGGGCACUGGAUCUAGGAAAUCCUUACCAUGUGUUCUGUUUCCUAUUCGUUGCCUUCUGGUGAAUUAGAAGGCAGAGAACCUCAGAGCCCAGAGAGACCUUUGCAUUCAUACACCUCAUUUUACAGACGCAAAACCAGAUGCCAGGAGGGGUUGAGGGACCAGCAUAAAAUGAUUUUUCUAAUUAGAGCCAAAGCCAAGAUUAGACUUCUGAUGUGAUUAACUCCCAGUCCAGUGCCUACUGAUGGAACCAGACUUCAAGUUACUCAACAAUUUCCCAGCUCAAACAAAGUUGCCAGAGUCCCCCCCGCCCCGCCCCUCCAACCUACCCCCUCAUAACGAAAUCAACCAGACUAACCCCCAUGAAGAACAGGCCAUCCUGCUUCCCUUCUAGAAAGGAAGACUGAGAAUAGAAAAGUGUUACUAUGCGAUCUGUCCGGGAAUUCCUAACCUUCAGUAAUAAGCAGUGACACCUCUGUGACAUCUUCCCAGGACAGAGAGAGUCAAUUGUGUCUUCUAAGAUGAGCCACUUGGGUCAACCAUGGAAAUGCCAGUCAAGAAGAUGACUAGGUUUCCCCUCCUUCCAUCCCCUCCUCCCCAAUUGAGGGAGAAAGGAUGGUGUUGCUUGUUCACUGGAAAUUUUCAGGGAUGAGGAAGCUGAAAGGAGGAAAGGCUGCUGUCCGCUCUAAUCAUGCCUCAGAAACAUUCAGCCCCACCCGACUGGGGUCCCAGUCCCAGGUAUGCUCAACGCGGCAAAAUGGAGGACACAGGGCAGUCAGUAAGAGCAGUUACAGUGGGGAACAUAUUUUGGCACAAAUCUAAGUCAGCACGAUUUCCACCCCCGUUCUGGGAUCAGUAUACUCCCUAAACACACACAAGAAGACCCAAAGAAAUACAAUCCUUCCUUAUGAAAAGUAGUCAUGUGCUCUAACUCCCAAGAGGGCACUCAGUGUAUAAAGUGGGAACAGGGAAAAAUUAUUUGAUCCAUGCUCUUCACAUGGUCCCUUCCUCAUCUCCUCAGAAAAGCCAUCUGGAAAAAAAAAAGUGAUAAUUUACUGAUAUUGUUGAAACUGCAAAUGAAAAUUCCAAGUAUUUUUGCACGGAAGUAUUGUGACCAGAUAAAUCACUUGAGAACCACGGGAAUGUCUUCCCCAUUUCAUAAAUUUCCAGACUGGAUAUGAUAGCAGGACUGGGUGAGGGCAGUUGAGUCCCUCUGAGAAUCCAGGAACUUAUGUAUCACUGGCCUAGUUUUGUUUAUAGACAUAUAUAAAAAUCCAAAGCCCAAAAGGAGAUUUCGCCAUCAAUCAUUAAAUUCAUCUAAUUGCUGGCAAUGGACACACCAUUCCCCCCCCCCCCCCCGCCACACACACACCAUAAAUUGUCCUCCACAAACGCAUAAUAAAAGUAAAGUGAACUAAAUGUUUGUGAGACACUUGUGAGGUCAUAAAUUAGGGUGGGGACACAACUGCGACCCACAUGAGGCUGAGGUUGGCAAAGGAGGACUGCAAGUAUGUGAAAGCUGGGGGACAUUCCCCAGCUCUCAGAGGUGGGCAGAAGGGACGAUGGCACAGGACAGGAUUCGUUUCAUGGCAAAGAGGGAGGUAUGAAUAACCCAGAGGGAAGACACUUGUGAGCCUCUGGUGGGCUGCCCAGAGUGCCUGUCUACAUGCCCAGGAAUCAAGGCUCACAUGCAAAGACUGUUGAUGCUUACGGUCAAAUUCACUUCUGCCAAGGAACGGAAACAACCGACAGAGGGGACAUUGCUCUAUCUACAUGAAGCCACAGCGACAAACACGUGGGAUCUGGACAUGAGGAGACAGGAUGUCUUACACCUUUCAUGGAGACCCUUCUGAACCAUCAGAUGCUAUUCCUACCUUACAAGAGAAGGAAGGAAGGAAGUGGAAAGACUAAGUCUGUGCAUGCACACUGGGGCAGGGCCACCUCCUUCGGAAUCCUUCUUCUGUCACCUAUGGGCUGGGUGACCUUGGGCAGGGCACAGAACCAGUCUAAGCCUUCCAAUCUCAUAAGAUUAAGAUGAUAAUGGUCUAUUUGGGAAGGCUGUUGUGCAACUUAUUCUGGGUAAAGCCCACAACCCAGGGCCUAGCAUACAGUACACUCUCAAAGCAGAUUAGCAACUCAUUUCUAGACUUCGAUACUGUAGUGCCAUAACACUCAGUCUGGCCUCAACCAGAUCCUACCAAUCCAAGGCUCCCCACAAAGGUCCCUAUAUACAGAAGUUCACGAGGGGUUGGUUACUCCUAAGUAACAAUCAGAUUCCCAGAAGUUAUCUGUGAUCAAAUCUUGCCAGAAAGAAAGAGACUUCGUUAACACUACUUAAAAAUGUUUAAAUGUUAAACACUAUGUGGGCAGUAUUUGAAGUAGUUAUAUUUUAGGUAGAGUUUGAUAGCUUUAAUGUUUACAGAAAAAGGUGAAGAUUCAUUGUGUUUUGUUUUAUUUUUUUGCAAAUGCAUUUUAAGAGCCAUUAACACCUACAGUGAUCUCAGAUGGCAACAGGAAACACCAAAGGGACACCGGCCAGCUAUCAAAGAUAAACUGAAAAAGAGGAAGAAUCACACGUUAGAUUAGUCCCUAUGGGGUCAGUUAAAGUCAGUGCUGAGAUGGUUUGCCUGCUAAAAAAUAACAGAACAAUCUAUCUUUAUGUGUAUUCAUCAGGGUGAAGUCCCCAGGCAUUUUCCCUCAUUGAUAAGAAAUGAUCUUAUUCCCAGAGCAUAACAUCACUAAAGCCCUCUUUAAGGACCCAUCUGAGAGAGGAGCACUCUGGGUAGGAAUGACACCAGCACUGAAAAACUAGUUAAAACCAUUGGUGGGGAUACUAGAAUUUGAGUAGAAGAUUCAGUCAGGGGAUCCGGGCAUGCAUCUUGGGACCUGUGGGUUAACUGACCCCUUACAUCUCAGCAGAGCCGUGGUUCUUAAUGGGGACGAUUUUGCCCUUGAUGGGAAACCUACUAAUGUCUGGAAAUGUUUUUGGCUGUCACAACUAGAGGCACUGAUGAUUCUGGCAUCUAGUGAGCAGAGGCCAGAGACGCUGCUAAAUAUCCUGCAAUGCACAGGGCAGGUCCUGUGACAACAAUCUGCCGAAAAUGUCAAUAGUGCCAAGACUGAGCAACCCUGCAUUACACGAAGACAGAAAAAAGGGGGCCAUUCAUGGACAGACUGUGUCACGGGCUGUCACUAAGAGAUGUUGUGCAGUCUAGUUUGUGGAUGUCAUUUAUGUCGUUUGUCCCAAGUGCACAGCUGGGCCUAUCAUGAAAGCCACGCGAUAUCCUUAAACUAAUUUAGAAGACACCUGGUUGAUAAAGCUUUAAAAAUA
Felis catus (domestic cat) is the source of this 7928-nucleotide long non-coding RNA. RefSeq lists it as uncharacterized. The transcript has 5 exons. The record is from RefSeq and is a predicted model, not a curated record. Lineage: Eukaryota; Metazoa; Chordata; Mammalia; Carnivora; Felidae.